RNAcentral lists this ribosomal RNA (374 nucleotides) under uncultured organism. Its description in RNAcentral is "partial 16S ribosomal RNA". It matches the Rfam family "Bacterial small subunit ribosomal RNA", at positions 527 to 897 of the family's 1533-position model. The record is from RNAcentral.
GUAGGUGGCAAGCGUUGUCCGGAAUUAUUGGGCGUAAAGCGCGCGCAGGCGGUUCUUUAAGUCUGAUGUGAAAGCCCACGGGCUCAACCGUGGAGGGUCAUUGGAAACUGGAGAACUUGAGUACAGAAGAGGAAAGCGGAAUUCCACGUGUAGCGGUGAAAUGCGUAGAGAUGUGGAGGAACACCAGUGGCGAAGGCGGCUUUCUGGUCUGUAACUGACGCUGAGGCGCGAAAGCGUGGGGAGCAAACAGGAUUAGAUACCCUGGUAGUCCGCGCCGUAAACGAUGAGUGCUAAGUGUUAGGGGGUUUCCGCCCCUUAGUGCUGCAGCUAACGCAUUAAGCACUCCGCCUGGGGAGUACGGCCGCAAAGGCUAG